RNAcentral lists this ribosomal RNA (535 nucleotides) under uncultured fungus. RNAcentral's name for it is "eukaryotic LSU rRNA". It matches the Rfam family "Eukaryotic large subunit ribosomal RNA", at positions 264 to 821 of the family's 3401-position model. Lineage: Eukaryota; Fungi. The record is from RNAcentral.
GUCGGGUUGUUUGGGAAUGCAGCUCAAAAUGGGUGGUAAAUUUCAUCUAAAGCUAAAUACUGGCGAGAGACCGAUAGCGAACAAGUAGAGUGAUCUAAAGAUGAAAAGUACUUUGAAAAGAGAGUGAAACAGUACGUGAAAUUGUUGAAAGGGAAGCGCUUGGCAUCAGCCCAUGGCGUCAGUCUAUCAACCUGGCUUCUGUCGGGUGCACUAGAGUGAUGUCGGGCCAGCGUCGACUUUGCCCGCUGGAGAAAGGUUCGAGGGAUGUGGCUCCUUGGAGCGUUAUACCCUUGGGCGUCAUGCGGUGGGCGAGGUCGAGGUCCGCGGUUUAUCCUAGGACGCUGGCGUAAUGGUUCCAAGCGACCCGUCUUGAAACACGGACCAAGGAGUCUAACAUCUAUGCGAGUGUUUGGGUGUAAAGCCCGUCCGCGCAAUGAAAGUGAAUGCAGGCGGGAGCCGUUAGAUGGCGCACCGUCGACCGGUCCAGGGGUUUACCGAAGGAUCUGAGUAAGAGCAUAGCUGUUGGGACCCGAAA